UACGAGGGGUGCAAGCGUUAUUCGGAUUAAUUGGGCGUAAAGGGUGCGUAGACGGUUUGUUAAGUCACUUGUUAAAUUCUUCGGCCUAACUGAAGGUGUGCGAGUGAUACUGGCGAACUAGAGGAUGGAAGAGAGAAGUGGAAUUCUCGGAGUAGCGGUAAAAUGCGUAGAUCUCGAGAGGAACACCAAUGGCGAAGGCAGCUUCUUGGUCCAUUCCUGACGUUCAGGCACGAAAGCGUGGGGAGCAAACAGG
This 253-nucleotide ribosomal RNA is filed under the name uncultured bacterium. Its description in RNAcentral is "partial 16S ribosomal RNA". It matches the Rfam family "Bacterial small subunit ribosomal RNA", at positions 524 to 776 of the family's 1533-position model. The record is from RNAcentral.